This 389-nucleotide ribosomal RNA is filed under the name uncultured bacterium. RNAcentral's name for it is "bacterial SSU rRNA". It matches the Rfam family "Bacterial small subunit ribosomal RNA", at positions 28 to 420 of the family's 1533-position model. The record is from RNAcentral.
GACGAACGCUGGCGGCGUGCUUAACACAUGCAAGUCGAACGCUGACCCACUUUCGGGUGGUGAUGAGUGGCGAACGGGUGAGUAACACGUGGGUAACCUGCCCUGUACUUUGGGAUAAGCCUUGGAAACGGGGUCUAAUACCGGAUAUGAUCUCGCACCGCAUGGUGUGGGGUGGAAAGUUCCGGCGGUAUGGGAUGGGCCCGCGGCCUAUCAGCUUGUUGGUGGGGUGAUGGCCACCAAGGCGACGACGGGUAGCCGGCCUGAGAGGGCGACCGGCCACACUGGGACUGAGACACGGCCCAGACUCCUACGGGAGGCAGCAGUGGGGAAUCUUGCGCAAUGGGCGAAAGCCUGACGCAGCGACGCCGCGUGAGGGAUGACGGCCUCGG